UCCCGCUGCUCCUAUGAGGAUGUUCCUCCAC
RNAcentral lists this non-coding RNA (31 nucleotides) under Mus musculus (house mouse). Lineage: Eukaryota; Metazoa; Chordata; Mammalia; Rodentia; Muridae. The record is from RNAcentral.